This 925-nucleotide long non-coding RNA is filed under the name Vigna radiata. RNAcentral's name for it is "long non-coding RNA (VRAD_LNC017688)". The record is from RNAcentral. Lineage: Eukaryota; Viridiplantae; Streptophyta; Magnoliopsida; Fabales; Fabaceae.
AAACAGGUUGGCUUCGUUUUACACCAAGAGGGGGGGGUGAAUUGGUGUUAGUUCAAAUUUAAAAUCUUUUCGCAAUCUUGGUAUGAAAGUUCAAAGCUUUUGAUCUUUCCUUGAAAUGCAAGUUAUUGAAAAAUGUAAUGCAGCGGAAAAACGUAGUUGACUGCUAGACAGAUAUAGUCGACUGAAUUAAAAGAGUGCAGGGAUAGAAAAAUCAAACACUGAUUUUUAUACUGGUUCGGCCAGCAAUGCCUACAUCCAGUGUCCUUCCAACCUUGGAAGGAAAUGUACUAUAAUGGUUGCGAUUUUUACAACAAGGAAUUUAUAGAAGCACCACGCAAAAACAUAAAUCUCCCCUCUAACCCAAAACCAAAUAUAGCUGCACACAAAAACCAGAAUUGCAGCAAGAAUCCCAUCUCCUACAAUAUGCACCCACGUUGAACAAUUCUCAACGUGUCACCAACAUUCUUUACAGGAUGCCAAGCCUAUCACAACACGCUUCAUAGGUUUCCAAGCCUAUCACAGCAUGUAACACCCCGAUUUUUGAGAUGUAUGUCAUUUCCUUCUACUGUGUCGUCAUAACCUGUUAUCACUAACAGGAACCUGUUCUGCAAAACAGGACAAUUUGAGUCGUCUUCCAUCGCAACUUCCGACCUAUCUCCCCAACUUCUCAAGGAAUUACGAGUAAAAAUUUCGGUUAGGCGCACCCACCGAGCACUAUACUUACACGAGCCGAAGUCAUUUUGGGCGAGACAUCCGCCUCCCCCGCAGCGGGAAGUGACACUCGAAUCACUAUCUCUAAACGAAAGCCCAACACAUUAUUACCGUACCACAAUACGGAAAGUUCAUCCAUGAUCGAUGACAGUACAAGGAAAUAACAUAGUUUCAUAUUUACAUCACAAUUUCAUUAACAUUCUCAACAUCAUGU